GGCAUCACUUAAUAUUGAAAACUCCGGUGGAUAGAGAUGGGCACGCGCAAGAUUAGAUAGUUGGUGGGGUAACGGCCUACCAAGUCGAUGAUCUUUAGGGGGCCUGAGAGGGUGAUCCCCCACACUGGUACUGAGACACGGACCAGACUCCUACGGGAGGCAGCAGUGAGGAAUAUUGGACAAUGGGUGCAAGCCUGAUCCAGCCAUCCCGCGUGAAGGACGACGGCCCUAUGGGUUGUAAACUUCUUUUGUACAGGGAUAAACCUAGAUACGUGUAUCUAGCUGAAUGUACUGUACGAAUAAGCACCGGCUAACUCCGUGCCAGCAGCCGCGGUAAUACGGAGGGUGCAAGCGUUAUCCGGAUUUAUUGGGUUUAAAGGGUCCGUAGGCGGAUCAUUAAAUCAGUGGUGAAAUCUCAUAGCUUAACUAUGACACUGCCAUUGAUACUGCUGGUCUUGACUAACGCACACCUAUCUGGAAUAAGUAGCGUACCGGAGAACUGUCCGCCAUAUCUACUUUCAACACCAAGCGCAAACGCAGGUUACUAUGUCCUAUCUGACGCUGAUGGACGAACGCAUGUGGAGCGAACCGGACUAUAUACACUGGUAGUCCACGCUGCAAUUGAUGCUGACUCGUUAUUGCGUUUUUGGAUUCAGAAACUAUCCAUAACUGAAUAAUUAGCAAAUAGCGGAGUGCUAAU
Molecule: ribosomal RNA, 700 nt
Filed under: Chryseobacterium daecheongense
Lineage: Bacteria; Pseudomonadati; Bacteroidota; Flavobacteriia; Flavobacteriales; Weeksellaceae
Description: bacterial SSU rRNA
Rfam family: Bacterial small subunit ribosomal RNA
Source: RNAcentral